CUGGGGUGUCAAAGUUGAGGUAGGUGCGAGAAAUGACGAGAAUCAUCCAAAUCGCGCUCAUUGCCUCCAAUCUGCCUCGACUGGGACGCUCGUCG
This 95-nucleotide microRNA precursor is filed under the name Caenorhabditis japonica. Its description in RNAcentral is "pre miRNA CJA48926". The stretch from base 11 to 85 matches the Rfam family "mir-241 microRNA precursor family". Lineage: Eukaryota; Metazoa; Nematoda; Chromadorea; Rhabditida; Rhabditidae. The record is from RNAcentral.